RNAcentral lists this ribosomal RNA (442 nucleotides) under uncultured bacterium. RNAcentral's name for it is "partial 16S ribosomal RNA". It matches the Rfam family "Bacterial small subunit ribosomal RNA", at positions 338 to 795 of the family's 1533-position model. The record is from RNAcentral.
CCUACGGGAGGCAGCAGUGGGGAAUAUUGGUCAAUGGGCGCAAGCCUGACCCAGCAAUGCCGCGUGAAGGAAGAAGGCUUUCGGGUUUUAAACUUCUUUGACAGUGGGAGAGCAGAGGACUGUACCCUGAAAACAAGCCGCAGCUAACUACGUGCCAGCAGCCGCGGUAGUACGUAGGUGGCAAGCGUUGUCCGGAUUUACUGGGUGUAAAGGGCGUGUAGCCGGGAUGGUAAGUCAGAUGUGAAAGCUGGAGGCUCAACCUACAAAUUGCAGUUGACACUGUUUUUCUUGAGUACUGUAGAGGCAGACGGAAUUCCUUGUGUAGCGGUGAAAUGCGUAGAUAUAAGGAGGAACACCAGUGGCGAAGGCGGUCUGCUGGACAGUAACUGACGGUGAGGCGCGAAAGCGUGGGGAGCAAACAGGAUUAGAUACCCGGGUAGUC